This 76-nucleotide small RNA is filed under the name Xanthomonas oryzae. Its description in RNAcentral is "sX9". The record is from RNAcentral. Lineage: Bacteria; Pseudomonadati; Pseudomonadota; Gammaproteobacteria; Lysobacterales; Lysobacteraceae. RNAcentral also lists the same sequence under 1 other name.
AGUGCACACGUGGCACAUGCCGAUUCCGAGCACCGGCGGCGCCCGCCUGGCGGCUGCUCGCUACGUUUUGUUUGCC